This 492-nucleotide ribosomal RNA is filed under the name uncultured bacterium. RNAcentral's name for it is "partial 16S ribosomal RNA". It matches the Rfam family "Bacterial small subunit ribosomal RNA", at positions 29 to 507 of the family's 1533-position model. The record is from RNAcentral.
AGUGAACGCUGGCGGUAGGCCUAACACAUGCAAGUCGAACGGCAGCACAGUAAGAGCUUGCUCUUACGGGUGGCGAGUGGCGGACGGGUGAGGAAUACAUCGGAAUCUACUUUUUCGUGGGGGAUAACGUAGGGAAACUUACGCUAAUACCGCAUACGACCUACGGGUGAAAGCAGGGGAUCUUCGGACCUUGCGCGUUUGAAUGAGCCGAUGUCGGAUUAGCUAGUUGGCGGGGUAAAGGCCCACCAAGGCGACGCUCCGUAGCUGGUCUGAGGGGAUGGUCAGCCACACUGGAACUGAGGCACGGUCCAGACUCCUACGGGAGGCGGCAGUGGGGAAUAUUGGAGAAUGGGCGGAAGACUGAUCCAGCCAUACCGCGUGGGUGAAGAAGGCCUUCGGGUUGUAAAGCCCUUUUGUUGGGAAAGAAAAGCAGCAGGUUAAUACCCCGCUGUUCUGACGGUACCCAAAGAAUAAGCGCCGGCUAACUUCGUG